This 622-nucleotide ribosomal RNA is filed under the name Salmonella enterica. Its description in RNAcentral is "partial 23S ribosomal RNA". It matches the Rfam family "Bacterial large subunit ribosomal RNA", at positions 567 to 1190 of the family's 2925-position model. The record is from RNAcentral. Lineage: Bacteria; Pseudomonadati; Pseudomonadota; Gammaproteobacteria; Enterobacterales; Enterobacteriaceae.
CAGGCAGUGGAGCGUUUUGGGGUGGGGUGACUGCGUACCUUUUGUAUAAUGGGUCAGCGACUUAUAUUCUGUAGCAAGGUUAACCGCAUAGGGGAGCCGAAGGGAAACCGAGUCUUAACCGGGCGUUAAGUUGCAGGGUAUAGACCCGAAACCCGGUGAUCUAGCCAUGGGCAGGUUGAAGGUUGGGUAACACUAACUGGAGGACCGAACCGACUAAUGUUGAAAAAUUAGCGGAUGACCUGUGGCUGGGGGUGAAAGGCCAAUCAAACCGGGAGAUAGCUGGUUCUCCCCGAAAGCUAUUUAGGUAGCGCCUCGUGAAUUCAUCUCCGGGGGUAGAGCACUGUUUCGGCCAGGGGGCCAUCCCGGCUUACCAAUCCGAUGCAAACUGCGAAUACCGGAGAAUGUUAUCACGGGAGACACACGGCGGGUGCUAACGUCCGUCGUGAAGAGGGAAACAACCCAGACCGCCAGCUAAGGUCCCAAAGUCAUGGUUAAGUGGGAAACGAUGUGGGAAGGCCCAGACAGCCAGGAUGUUGGCUUAGAAGCAGCCAUCAUUUAAAGAAAGCGUAAUAGCUCACUGGUCGAGUCGGCCUGCGCGGAAGAUGUAACGGGGCUAAACCAU